This 63-nucleotide transfer RNA is filed under the name Proasellus karamani. RNAcentral describes it as "transfert RNA-Y(TAC)". It matches the Rfam family "tRNA". From Rfam's summary of the family: Transfer RNA (tRNA) molecules are approximately 80 nucleotides in length. Their secondary structure includes four short double-helical elements and three loops (D, anti-codon, and T loops). Lineage: Eukaryota; Metazoa; Arthropoda; Malacostraca; Isopoda; Asellidae. The record is from RNAcentral.
AGUUAGGUGGCUGAUAAAAGCAUUAAACUGUAAAUUUAAUUAUAGAGUUAUCUCUCCUUACUA